This 562-nucleotide ribosomal RNA is filed under the name Polyschismium chailletii. Its description in RNAcentral is "bacterial SSU rRNA". It matches the Rfam family "Eukaryotic small subunit ribosomal RNA", at positions 47 to 558 of the family's 1831-position model. The record is from RNAcentral. Lineage: Eukaryota; Evosea; Eumycetozoa; Physariida; Didymiaceae.
AGCCAUGCAUGCCUUCGAAUAGGAGGAAGCAAUUCUCUCUGAAUCUGCGAACGGCUCCGCAAACCAGUUGUAAACUAUAGCAAGCAAUCCCCGGCCGGCCUUCGGGUCGGCUGUAGUGGAUAACAAGGAUAACCCUGGUAAUUCUGAGGCUAAUACAAGGACGUGCUCCCCGGCUGACCGGCAACGGAAGGCUGGGGGGCGUGCAACGUAUCGUAAGGGAUAACCGGGAAUGGGUGCACGCUUGGACCGCGCUAAAGACAGAACUCGGUGAACCUUCGGGGGAGCCUUGGCCUGAGCGGCUCUUGCUGUGUGCUUCUGACCUAUCAACUAGACGGCAGCGUAAGGGACAUGCUAUGGUUACAACGGGUACAGAGGAUUAGGGUUUGAUCCUGGAGAGUGGGCCUGAGAGAUUGCUCAUACUUCUAAGGAAGGCAGCAGGCGCGCAACGUUCCCCUUGGGCAAUGCCCGAGGGCGUUAGGGGACAUAUGAAUGCCUGCCAUAUUGGUGGGCAAUUCAAAUGGGUCUGUUAUAAACAGCCUCUCGAGUAACAAUUAGAGGACAA